This 303-nucleotide long non-coding RNA is filed under the name Lathyrus oleraceus (garden pea). RNAcentral's name for it is "Pisum sativum (pea) long non-coding RNA (PSAT_LNC019322)". Lineage: Eukaryota; Viridiplantae; Streptophyta; Magnoliopsida; Fabales; Fabaceae. The record is from RNAcentral.
UAACUUUCCCUUUUUUGUUGACUUUCCUUUUUUUUUGGCAGAGUGGGUCUGCACUUUGGGUCUUGGUUGGGGUGCUUUUUUCACCCUUUUUUUUCUUCACCCUUUUUUUUCGGAUAACACCCCAUACUUCUUUAAUUCAAUUAUAUUUUAAUUCUAUUUUUUUAGAUUUAAUUAGAAUUAUUUUUUGUUAAUCAUGUUUACUUAGGUUAAUCAAAAAGUUUAGGAUUUAAUAAAAAUUUAGGAUUAAUUAGUAUAAAAUUUUAAUUAGACCAAAAUUAGAAUUAAUUAGUUUUUAGUUGAUUU